GUGUUACGGCAGCACAUUUACUAAAAUUGGAAUGAUACAGAGAAGAUUAGCAUGGCCCCUGCGCAAGGAUGACACGCAAAUUUGUGAAGCAUUCCAUAUUUGU
RNAcentral lists this small nuclear RNA (103 nucleotides) under Pelobates cultripes (western spadefoot toad). Lineage: Eukaryota; Metazoa; Chordata; Amphibia; Anura; Pelobatidae. The record is from RNAcentral.